RNAcentral lists this ribosomal RNA (388 nucleotides) under uncultured bacterium. RNAcentral's name for it is "bacterial SSU rRNA". It matches the Rfam family "Bacterial small subunit ribosomal RNA", at positions 29 to 417 of the family's 1533-position model. The record is from RNAcentral.
AUUGAACGCUGGCGGAAUGCUUUACACAUGCAAGUCGAGCGGCAGCGCGGGGGCAACCCUGGCGGCGAGCGGCGAACGGGUGAGUAAUACAUCGGAACGUGUCCUUAAGUGGGGGAUAGCUCGGCGAAAGCCGGAUUAAUACCGCAUAAGCUCUGAGGAGGAAAGCGGGGGCUCCGUAAGGACCUCGCGCUGUUGGAGCGGCCGAUGUCGGAUUAGCUAGUUGGUGGGGUAAAGGCCCACCAAGGCGACGAUCCGUAGCUGGUCUGAGAGGAUGAUCAGCCACACUGGAACUGAGACACGGUCCAGACUCCUACGGGAGGCAGCAGUGGGGAAUUUUGGACAAUGGGGCAACCCCGAUCCAGCCAUUCCGCGUGAGUGAAGAAGGCCU